GACAAAUAUUUGCAGACACUCCUAACGCUGGCCGGCCGUAUUUGGAGGAAGCUCUGAAUCGAUCUGAUAGCCCGACAAACGAAGGAGAUCUCUUUCUUCCUCUGUCUGUGAGGCUUUUAAAAAAAUAUAUGACUCCUCGAGGCAUUCAAACAGAAAGUAAGCUCACUCAAGUUAGAGUCAGUGAAUUAGAGAAGCACUUAAACUUAAAUCCAAAGGACGAUCAAGACUGCGUAAAUUCCUUGUGUUCUCUAGCGAAGACGAGGCAGGCACUGCUGAUAGAGUAUCAAAAACUGACAAAGAGUCAGAAUCAGAAGACGACACUAUUUCUCCAGUGGAGCCACCAAAAGUCAUCCGUAAAUCAGCCCCUGCGCGUCUGUUAACAUCACGUAAGAAGCGACGAAAAAAUGCAAAAGAAACCACACAGAAAAAAUCUUUGGUUCAGAAACCUACUGUCAUUGUUAACAAGAGGAAGACGCAGCAGGUCGAAAACAAGGAAAACCUGAACGUUGACAGAGCUAAGGCCGGGAUCAACAUGGACACAAAAAUAGAAAGUAAAACCCAGAAACCGCCCAGUAAAAUGAACAGUGCUGUCAAGAGGAAACUUCUGCAGACUUCACAACUAAUAAUGUUGGAUGCACCAGUAGAAGAUCUGUCAAUUAGCAAACCAGUGCCCGAAUGAAGCCUCUGCCUCCCGAGAGCUCGCCUAAAAAGAGAAAGUUUCCUCCUACCUCAACCACUAAAGUUUCAUCUCAAAGUAGCACAGCGUCAAGUGGCUCCCGCUACAGUGAGAUGUACCGUCUCAUGUCAUCAGAUGAGGAAGAGCGGAAUUCAGCUGCAUGGUUCGCAACACCUCGCCGAAAUAAAACUCUUCCCAAACCUGUACUUGUCUGUACAAGUUUGCAUACCAAUGAAUCAGUGGAAGUUAAUACAAUUGUAGGUAAGCUUGGGCUCUUUGAAACUGCAACCAAAGUAAACCCCCAGACAACGCAUGUUGUAGCAGGUGGCCCAGGAGGACUCUCAAUCUUGUCAAAGGCAUGGCAAGAGGCUGCUGGAUCGUCAGGAAGGAAUGGGUAUGUAUCUUACAUGGGUAUCUUACACUGUAACUUCAAGCUCUCUCAAACUGUAAAUGUUCUUUUUUUGUCCUAGUUAUGUGUAGUCAUCUGUCCACUCCCUUGCUAUAAUUUUUCAGGUAUCAGGAGGUAAUAGUUUUUAAUGAGCUUGCUGUCUGCAAAUUUUCUAAUUGUGACUGAGGUUUCUCAUAACACAAAACAGCCUGAAAUUAACUCUGAUUCAAGAUAUUAAUGUUUUUAUUUAACACUGGUUUUGAAAAUUUUGCAUUUUCUACUUGCAAGAGAACAUGCUCUAUGUUCUCUUGCCUUAUAUAUUUGAAAAAAAUAGAUACCAUCAUCGCUCCACCCUAAAAAUUUCAGCAGGUGUCUAUGAAGGUACGUUCUAACAUAGGACAAAUUUAAACAAAAUCGAAGGGGGGCUUUUUUGGGUAUGGCCCCCCAAAGUUUAAAAAAGGGGUACCUAG
RNAcentral lists this long non-coding RNA (1534 nucleotides) under Bemisia tabaci. Its description in RNAcentral is "lncRNA ENSSSA3NGG004178". The record is from RNAcentral. Lineage: Eukaryota; Metazoa; Arthropoda; Insecta; Hemiptera; Aleyrodidae.